ACGCUCGACACCUAUGGGGGCAGCAGUGGGGAAUAUUGCACAAUGGGGGAAACCCUGAUGCAGCGACGCCGCGUGGAGGAAGAAGGUCUUCGGAUUGUAAACUCCUGUUGUUGGGGAAAAAGAGGAUGGUACCCAACAAGGAAGUGACGGCUAACUACGUGCAAGCAGCCGCGGUAAUCUGAGCGGGCUGGCAAGGC
RNAcentral lists this ribosomal RNA (197 nucleotides) under uncultured bacterium. RNAcentral describes it as "partial 16S ribosomal RNA". It matches the Rfam family "Bacterial small subunit ribosomal RNA", at positions 328 to 539 of the family's 1533-position model. The record is from RNAcentral.